GUCCUUGUAGCUUACAACAAAGCAUGGCACUGAAGAUGCCAAGACGGCCACCCCAUACACCCAAGGACA
Molecule: transfer RNA, 69 nt
Filed under: Oceanites oceanicus (Wilson's storm-petrel)
Lineage: Eukaryota; Metazoa; Chordata; Aves; Procellariiformes
Description: tRNA-Phe
Source: RNAcentral